CAAGAGUGAAGGGAAAUGUGUGUGAGGGAGGAAAUGAGUGAUUGAAUGAGUGAAAGUAUGGCUGAUAGAGAGAGUGAGAGAGAGAGGGUGGAAGACGAUGAUGUCGGCUGCUCGGAGCAAAUGCCGACAUAGAAGUAAGAAUUGGUAAAAAGUUUUCUUUGGAAGUUGCUCACAGUUUACAGCCAAGGAACAUUCAAUGGAAAAAAAUAGUCGGAAACUUUAAGAAAGUUAGAAUUUAGAUACCUUGAGACAUACACAGUUAUAUACUCCAUUACAAGACAAAAGUUAAUAUAUAUAUAUAAUUAUUAUAUAGAUGUUAUAUAUAUAUAUAUACACACAUAUAUCAACUAUUGAAGAUACUUCUGCUCUCAUCAGAUUAUUUAUGAUUUCUUCCUCUAUCUCACUAUUUGUCUAAUUCUUAUACAUACAUAUAUAUAUAUAUAUAUAUAUAUUAUAUAUACACACAUAACUUUCUUUUACUGCACAUAUAAUCGCGCACUACGCUCACAAUCGUGACUAGAUUUUGUAUACGUACCCUAUACACUCACCUGUAUCUAUAUACUGUAUCCGAUUUAUAUUUAUAUUCAUCUUUAUACACCUUGUAAGGCACUCGCACAUCAUCCCCCCCUCCUAAUCAUAUACGCACUAACCUACAUAAAUAUAUACCCAUACACAUAAUUACAUCACAGGUACAUAUAUAUAUAUAUAAUAUCUGUAUACACCCCACACACAUAUACAGAUAUAUACACGAGUUUAAGACUUACCAUUUACGCAAAACCGAAAGUUCUUCAGAUUGAAGAAUUGAUUCCUCAAAACAGACACUUUGGAGUAAUUUUCGUCUUUUUAUGAUCGAAAACAGGGAAUUCUUCAAUACAUAUAUAUUGUUUAAUAUACACUUCUACCCGUAUUGUAUACACCCUGUGAGACAAAAGAUUUCCAUUUCUACACCCUUACCGAAAUAUUCCCAGUAAAAAGACAGAAGGUCACCAAAAAUCUAUGUACAACAGUUGAAGUUUUUUGGAAUAUAUAUAUAUAUAUAUCUACCCAUCUUUGAGGCAGGUGAUGCCAGACCCAGCUUUGUUCUGAAGGCUUGAGCAUACACAUAUAUAUAUAUACACACAGAUGACUACAUGUAUAUAUAUACAUACAUAUGAACAUAUGAGUAUAUAUAUAUAUAUAUGUACUAUCGUAUAGUCCUAUGUAAGGCUCUUCCAGAAGUUCUCCAAUCACUUCCUUAUUUCCUGUAUUCAGGAACCAAAAUUUUACAGUUCAGGAAAUUUUCUCUCUUCCAGUCCAAGACUUUUGGUCAACCAAUUCCUUGUCUCUCAAACUUGGUCUUAGUUGAGAGCGAUCCUCUAUUAGCAACGAAUGACUCGGCUGGAAGGGAACGACGGAGAAUGUUUGCUAAAUAGAAGAAAAAGAAGACGACGAAGAAGAAGAAAAAUAAAACAAGAAUGAUGAUGAGUCUGCAGGAAGACAAUUUCUAAGAAAAAAAAAACACACACACACACACAUAUGUAUAUAUAUUUAUAUAUGUAUACACACCCACACACGCACACAAAAUAUGAAUAGACAGAAAAUUUGAAGGAAGCUUUCAUUUUACCGCAAAGAAAUUAUUGUUAUUAUUAUUAAUAAUAAACUCACUUGUAAAAGGAACAAAUUAAAAUCCAGCAGAUCUGGAACCACCAAUUAAGCAGAUAUUGGUUAAUUACGAAAAUAUAUUUAAUUUGACUUAGAUCUUUAUGCAUACACACACAUUCAAACACACACAGGCACACACACACACAUAUGCCCGUGUGUGUGUGUGCCCAUAGAGGAACCAUAUAUUUAGAAUGUUAUGAAGGUUCUGUUUGAAAGAGAGAGAGAGAGAGAGGAACUAGCUGCAUAUCCCAGAGAAAAAUAUACUCUCUUCUUCCUUCGAUCUAUGAUCCACUACAGGAUUUCAGAAUUGGAUUGGAUUUUCCUUGCAUGAUCUCUGGGACUUAUAAAUAAGGGUGUGUGUUAUAUUUGAUUGUAUAAGUUUAUAUGGUGAGAGAGAAAGAGUUGAAGAGAAAAAUAGCUAAUUGCAUUCAUUCCUGUUGUUUCUUGUUGUGAAAUGGAACAAAGAACUUUGGUCGACGGACUUCGUCUGGUAAAUAGACGCGAUGAGUUCUAAAGAGGGGCAGAGAGAGAAAGAGAGAGGGUCUACAGUGAAGGGAAGUAGCGGCACCAAAGGAGACGACUCUUUGGGGAAGCGGUCGAAAUCGACAGGUGGAAUGAAGGGUGACAAGAGCGACAAGGCAGAACCGGGCACCACCGAGCCGUCACC
Octopus bimaculoides (California two-spot octopus) is the source of this 2308-nucleotide long non-coding RNA. Lineage: Eukaryota; Metazoa; Mollusca; Cephalopoda; Octopoda; Octopodidae. The record is from RefSeq and is a predicted model, not a curated record.